AAUCAUAUCAAAACAAAGUUGGUAUCCGUUCGUUGCUUUUCUUUUCUCUGUAUUUUAUCGUUUGUUUUAACUUGCUAUUAGUUUAAAAUGCCAUUCAAGGUAGUUCAGACAAUCGAAAAAGGCGAAACCUGUUUUACUGUUGUGCCCGCGAGAUGGGAACAAAACGGUGUUUUGUUGUGGCCGAAAAAGAGUGCCGUGGCAAAACUGUUGCACGACGAGAAUUCUGUUCCUGCUACAAACUGGGAACGGAUUAAUUGUGUCAACAAACGAGUCUUCAAUGAUCGCGAAGCAGCGGAAGAAGAAAUACGAAAAAUGGAAUCUGCAUCGGACACAGAAGCAGACGAAAAUUUGGUUUUCAUUCCCCCUACUCGAGUAAAUAGACCGCGACUUCAGCAAACAAACAUCUUAGGAGAUGUUAGCGUACUGAAAGAUUUCAAUCGAUCAAUUGAACGGCUGGAUAACGACAAGUAGGAGCAAGCAAUCUACAGAGACAAUGAUCUGAACCCUUCAUUUGAACCUGAGCCGGACACCGUGCUGUUGCUGACUGAAGAAGCAGAUGCGGACAAUGGAGACUCAAUUGUAAUCAUCCCACAGGAAAUCGAUGCAGGAAACGAUGAUCGUGCCAACAAUGUUUUGGACACCAUCUUAUUAAAUCUCACUAGCAUUCGUAACGAACAAAUGAAAAUAGUACAGUGCAUUGCAACGAUGCAAACCAGUAUUGAAUACCUUGCACAAGCUGUUUUGAAUAAUAGACCGUCCGCUUACCCUCUCUGCUAAGCGCACUAAUGUGUUUUCAAAGCCUAUUAACACUGCAUCAGAGCUUACCGAACCGGAGGAGAAUUUGAAAGACGAUGCUAUAUUUGGUGAAAUUGUUUCAAACAUGAGCUUCAUCUGCGGUUCAAAUGGAAAGUCAAAUGGUGUUGAUUACUGUUACAAACUGAUUGAUUGUUUCAUGACGCGAGAGUUUCUAACAGAAUGUUCAUGGACCGGAAAUAGCCGCGGUGCAGAUGAAAAUAGAUCGCAUAGCGCAGAGGGAUCGGAAUGUACCAGUAAGGUACCCCUGAAAUUCUACAAGAACUUCCGUGCUUUGUUUUUGAAAUUGAUUUUGCUCGCUGACAAAGACUUUACUGAGGUGAACUGUGAAGAAUUCUUCAAGAGAGUGAUAAAAAACAGUAAGCAAAGAUUGGGAGUUAAAAAUUUAUCCAAGCAUAAGAACCGGCCAAAAAACCUUAAAUAUGUUGUCCAAAAGGAUAACACGAAGACAAAUGAAAUUGCUUGAUGCAACAAUGUUUAAUAUGUUAUUUUCUCAUUAUUUUUGUUACAAUUCUGCAUUCAUUUUAUGUUUAGUUUAUUUUCUUCUGAAAUGUGACAAACAAUAGCUUAAUGUUAUUGCAAAGUAUGAAGUAGUGGAAUAAAAACAGCUUCGCCCUCUUCGUUAUAGGGUAUCAAUACCAUUUUACAUUUAA
Molecule: long non-coding RNA, 1466 nt
Organism: Wyeomyia smithii (pitcher-plant mosquito)
Lineage: Eukaryota; Metazoa; Arthropoda; Insecta; Diptera; Culicidae
Exons: 2
Source: RefSeq, a predicted model, not a curated record